Molecule: ribosomal RNA, 1232 nt
Filed under: metagenome
Description: bacterial SSU rRNA
Rfam family: Archaeal small subunit ribosomal RNA
Source: RNAcentral
AUGAGACGGCGGCGGAUUAGGUUGUUGGCGGGGUAAUGGCCCACCAAGCCGACGAUCCGUAGGGGCCGUGAGAGCGGUAGCCCCGAGAAGGACACUGAGAUACUGGUCCUAGCCCUACGGGGUGCAGCAGGCGCGAAACCUUUACAAUGCACGAAAGUGUGAUAAGGGAACCCUAAGUGCUCAUGUUUUACAUGGGCUUUUGCCAAGAAUAAAUAUCUUGGCGAAUAAGUGGUGGGAAAGACUGGUGCCAGCAGCCGCGGUAACACCAGCGCCACAAGUAGGGACCACUACUAUUGGGCCUAAAGCGUCCGUAGCCGGCUGAAUAAAUUUCUUGUGAAAUUGUUGGGCUUAACCUAACAACGUGCAGGAAAAACUGUUCAGCUUGGAACCGGGAGAAGUCAGGAGUAUGCUGGGGGGAGCGGUAAAAUGUUAUAAUUCCCGGUAGACUACCAGUGGCGAAGGCGCCUGACUAGAACGGAUUCGACGGUGAGGGACGAAAGCCAGGGGAGCGAAGCGGAUUAGAUACCCGUGUAGUCCUGGCCGUAAACGCUGCGAGCUAGGUGUUGCAUAUUCUACAUGAAUAUGCAGUAUCGAAGCGAAGGUGAUAAGCUCGCCGCCUGGGAAGUAUGGUCGCAAGGCUGAAACUCAAAGGAAUUGGCGGGGGAGCACUACAAGGGGUGCGGCGUGCGGUUUAAUCUAAUUCAACGCAGAGAAUCUCACCAGAAGCGACGGCAGGAUGAAAGUCAGGCUAAAGGUCUUACUUGACGAGCCGAGAGGUAGUGCAUGGCCGCCGUCAGCUCGUGCUGUAAAGUGUCCUGUUAAGUCAGACAACGAGCGAGACCUGCAUCUACAAUUGCUAACGGAUUCUUUAGAAUGACUGAGCACAUUGUGGAGACUGCCCUGGAAACAGGGAGGAAGGUGCAGGCUACGGUAGGUCUGUAUGCUCCGAAUCUUCUGGGCUACACGCGCGCAACAAUGGUAAGGACAAUGGGAUGCGACUCCGAAAGGAGGAGCUAAUCCUCGAAACCUUAUCCAAGUCUAGAUUGAGGAUUGUAACUCAUCCUCAUGACAAUGGAAUCCCUAGUAAUCAGAGUUUAUCAUACUCCGGUGAACAUGUCCCUGCUCCUUGCACACACCGCCCGUCAAGCCACCCGAGUAGGGUUUAGGUGAGAGGUAAAUUUUAUUUGCAUCGAACCUAAGCUCAGCGAGGAGGGCUAAGUCGUCACAAGGUA